GCCUGUUGAUAAUAAUUUCAGGUCGAGCCUGCCCAMUGAAMUAGUUAAAUGGCCGCGGUAUAUUGACUGUGCAAAGGUAGCAUAAUCACUAGUUUUUUAAUUGAAAGCUUGAAUGAAGGGUUUAAUGAAAAAUUAACUGUCUCUGUAAAAAUUUAAUAAAAUUUUAUUUUUAAGUUAUAAAGCUUAGAUUUACAUAAAAGACGAGAAGACCCUAUAGAGUUUUAUAUACUUAAGGCAAUUUAAAAUAUUUGGGAUAGUCUAUUUGAGUUAUUUAGGUGUAUUUGGUUGGGGAGAUAAAAAAAUUAGACUAACUUUUUUUAAUUGAAAUAUUUAUUUAUAAAUUCGUGAUCCUAAAAUUUAGAUUAAAAGAAUAAAUUACCUUAGGGAUAACAGCGUAAUUUUUUUAAGAGUUCUUAUCGAAAAAAAAGCGCGACCUCGAUGUUGGAUUAAAAUUAAUUGUUGGUGUAGAAGCUAAUAAAUUAGGUCUGUUCGACCUUUAAAAUUUUACAUGAUCUGAGUUU
This 521-nucleotide ribosomal RNA is filed under the name Trigonopterus lompobattangensis. RNAcentral describes it as "partial large subunit ribosomal RNA". Lineage: Eukaryota; Metazoa; Arthropoda; Insecta; Coleoptera; Curculionidae. The record is from RNAcentral.